UACGGGGGGAGCAAGCGUUGUUCGGAUUUACUGGGCGUAAAGGGCGCGUAGGCGGCGCAACAAGUCACUUGUGAAAUCUCCGGGCUUAACCCGGAGCGGCCAAGUGAUACUGUCGUGCUAGAGUGCGGAAGGGGCUACUGGAAUUCUCGGUGUAGCGGUGAAAUGCGUAGAUAUCUAGAGGAACGCCAAAGGUGAAGACAGGCGACUGGGCCGAUUCUGACGCUGAGGCACGAAAGCGUGGGUAGCGAACGGG
Molecule: ribosomal RNA, 253 nt
Filed under: uncultured bacterium
Lineage: Bacteria
Description: partial 16S ribosomal RNA
Rfam family: Bacterial small subunit ribosomal RNA
Source: RNAcentral